GGGACAUGUAAUUUUGUGUUUUUGUAUCUUUUGGUUCUCAAGAAUUGUGUUUUUGUAAAGAAAAAUUGUGGUUUGUAAUUUGGUUAAAGAUGGAAAUUUCCAGUGGACUGAGUCCUAGAGUGAACUCAGUUACAUCAGGUGAAGGUAAAAAAGAUGACCCAAAUCAUCAAAAAUUUGAAUUGGAAUCUAUUGAUUUGGUUUCACAUACGGAUCACCAGUUUCUUACUUUGAGUGCUCUAGAGAUUUUGAGGGAAACUGUGAGAAUUCUGCGGUAUAAUUCAAUAGGUUUCAUGACAAUUGC
This 301-nucleotide unclassified non-coding RNA is filed under the name Hevea brasiliensis (rubber tree). The record is from RNAcentral. Lineage: Eukaryota; Viridiplantae; Streptophyta; Magnoliopsida; Malpighiales; Euphorbiaceae.